AAGUCGUAACAAGGUUUCCGUAGGUGAACCUGCGGAAGGGAUCAUUAAAUGAGAUCAUGCCCCGCUUCCGGGGGUUAAGGAACCCUUCCCACCCCCCAUGUUUCACCAGUAGCCCGGUUUGGCUUUGGGCCGGGUCCCGUUCGCAAGACGGGCCCGCCAGAGGACCCUUUAAAACCCGUAUUAUCAUUGUCGUCUGAGUACUAUCAAAUGUUUAAAAC
RNAcentral lists this unclassified non-coding RNA (218 nucleotides) under plant metagenome. RNAcentral's name for it is "partial contains small subunit ribosomal RNA and internal transcribed spacer 1". The stretch from base 1 to 47 matches the Rfam family "Eukaryotic small subunit ribosomal RNA", at positions 1786 to 1831 of the family's 1831-position model. The record is from RNAcentral.